Molecule: unclassified non-coding RNA, 752 nt
Filed under: Hevea brasiliensis (rubber tree)
Lineage: Eukaryota; Viridiplantae; Streptophyta; Magnoliopsida; Malpighiales; Euphorbiaceae
Source: RNAcentral
AUUCGUAUCAAAUAAGAAGCAUCAAAAGCAUACAUGAUACACCAAAGGCAGCCGCUUUAUCAUGAAUAUAACAUUACAUUAAUUGGUGAGGCCAGCACUAGCAAAUAGCAAUCAUGCAUGGUCUCCUUUUAUUAUUUUUAUUAUUUCUUUUUAAUAAAAAUUGAGUAACAGCCCCAAAAUUAAACAGUAAAAUAUCAAACAAAACAAAUAAUAAUGCAAGAGUCGGAUGAGGCUUUCGAAAAUCCUCUUAAGCUUUAGAGGUGAAGUCGAAGUUUGCACAAGUUGUUUGUCUAGACAACAGAGAAGAGCUAAACCCAAGCCUUGAAGUGGCAAGAUCAAACUGCAGAAGAUUGUCCUCCAAUUGGUGCCCUCCAAUCACUAUUGAAGUCCUCGGAUUUACACCUCCAUCAACGAAUCCCAGACAUAGCACAUCACUAUUAGCUUCCACCAUUGAGUUGGCACCGACAAUCCUCCAGAAAACAUUAUUGCUCUGCAACACAAGAUCAAUUGAUGGCACAUUUGCUCCAAGGCGAGUGCCAAGGAUUUUGGUAGAGUUAAAACAAGCCCCGAAAGGUGCCACAGAUGCCACUCUUGGGACAUCACCCAUCUCCUUCGCAAAAGCAUUAACAACAGCAUUGUAGAUUGUUGUCUCCAUGACAGUGUAAGGAUUAACGGUGCUAAUCUUUGUUCCACCGAAGCCUUCCCUGUUAAUGGAUAGCAAUGUUUUAUUCAAUGGAACAGCUUUUCCAUUG